GAUGAACGCUGGCGGCGUGCCUAAUACAUGCAAGUCGAGCGAACAGACGAGGAGCUUGCUCCUCUGAUGUUAGCGGCGGACGGGUGUGUAACACGUGGAUAACCUACCUAUAAGACUGGGAUAACUUCGGGAAACCGGAGCUAAUACCGGAUAACAUGCUGAACCGCAUGGUUCAACAGUGAAAUACGGUCUUGCUGUCACUUAUAGAUGGAUCCGCGCCGCAUUAGCUAGUUGGUAAGGUAACGGCUUACCAAGGCAACGAUGCGUAGCCGACCUGAGAGAGUGAUCGGCCACACGGGAAGUGGGACAGGGACAAGGCUACUACGGGAGGCAGCAGUAGGGAAUCGUCCGCAAUGGGCGAGAGCCUGACGGAGCAACGCCGCGUGAGUGGAGAAGGUCUUCGGAGCGUGAAACUCUGUUAUUAGGGAAGAACAGAUGUGUAAGUAGAUAUGCACGUAUUGACGGUACCUAGUCAGAAAGCCACGGCUAACUACGUG
Molecule: ribosomal RNA, 497 nt
Filed under: uncultured bacterium
Lineage: Bacteria
Description: partial 16S ribosomal RNA
Rfam family: Bacterial small subunit ribosomal RNA
Source: RNAcentral